UACGUAGGCAGCAAGCGUUUGUUCGGAGUUACUGGGCGUAAAGGGUGCGUAGGCGGCUCUGUAAGUAUGGUGUGAAAUCUCCCGGCUUAACUGGGAGGGUGCGCUAUAAGACUGCGGGGCUCGAGUGUGGGAGAGGAAAGUGGAAUUCCUGGUGUAGCGGUGAAAUGCGUAGAUAUCAGGAGGAACACCGGUGGUGUAAACGGCUUUCUGGACCAUAACUGACGCUGAGGCACGGAAAGCGUGGGUAGCAAACAGG
RNAcentral lists this ribosomal RNA (256 nucleotides) under uncultured bacterium. Its description in RNAcentral is "partial 16S ribosomal RNA". It matches the Rfam family "Bacterial small subunit ribosomal RNA", at positions 524 to 776 of the family's 1533-position model. The record is from RNAcentral.